Molecule: non-coding RNA, 76 nt
Organism: Trichonephila inaurata madagascariensis
Lineage: Eukaryota; Metazoa; Arthropoda; Arachnida; Araneae; Nephilidae
Source: the annotation of a GenBank genome assembly
GGGGUGUAUAGCUCAGUGGUAGAGCAUUCGACUGCAGAUCGGAAAUGUCCCCGGUUUUUAAACCCGGGUAACCCCA